This 232-nucleotide long non-coding RNA is filed under the name Physcomitrium patens. Its description in RNAcentral is "long non-coding RNA (PPAT_LNC004104)". Lineage: Eukaryota; Viridiplantae; Streptophyta; Bryopsida; Funariales; Funariaceae. The record is from RNAcentral.
AGCAGAAUCUGCUCCUCUUCAAGAAUCUCUGCAUCAUACAAGACCUUGAGCAAAAGCGCUAUCUCCUUGCUCGCGUUCAGAGGGAGAGCAGCGCAGAAGGUUUCAAUCGCAGCCAAAAGAUGCUUCUGAGAGGUUUCAUCUUGCACAACGGCAUCCAAAUAAGCUUUCUUCUUGCUAAUCUCUUUGUGAAGCCCCUUGCCGCAACCUUCAAACAGCGCAACAAAGAAUGCAU